RNAcentral lists this long non-coding RNA (277 nucleotides) under Malus domestica (apple). Its description in RNAcentral is "long non-coding RNA (MDOM_LNC008951)". Lineage: Eukaryota; Viridiplantae; Streptophyta; Magnoliopsida; Rosales; Rosaceae. The record is from RNAcentral.
AUUCUCAAAAGCUUCACACACUCUUGAUCAAGACAGUGUGAAGCAAAACUAAUUUAUGGUGCCAACAAAAGCUUCAUUAAUGAAGGGCAACUACAACUCGUAGAAAGGUUCACACACUCUUGAUCAAGACUAUUUGAAGCAAAUUCAAUUUAUAUGGUUCGUCCAAACCUUCGACUACUACAAGGUGUGGCUUGCAUCACAAUCUCUUGCUCAAUAGUGUGGAAACAAAAUUUGUAUAUGUUGUCUCUCCCACAUUUCCAAAUUUCUAGUUUCCCAA